This 526-nucleotide ribosomal RNA is filed under the name uncultured bacterium. RNAcentral's name for it is "bacterial SSU rRNA". It matches the Rfam family "Bacterial small subunit ribosomal RNA", at positions 777 to 1301 of the family's 1533-position model. The record is from RNAcentral.
AAUAGAUACCCAGGUAGUCCACGCCGUAAACGAUGAGUGCUAAGUGUUAGAGGGUUUCCGCCCUUUAGUGCUGCAGCUAACGCAUUAAGCACUCCGCCUGGGGAGUACGGCCGCAAGGCUGAAACUCAAAGGAAUUGACGGGGGCCCGCACAAGCGGUGGAGCAUGUGGUUUAAUUCGAAGCAACGCGAAGAACCUUACCAGGUCUCGACAUCCUCUGCCAACCCUAGAGAUAGGGCGUUCCCCUUCGGGGGACAGAGUGACAGGUGGUGCAUGGUUGUCGUCAGCUCGUGUCGUGAGAUGUUGGGUUAAGUCCCGCAACGAGCGCAACCCUUGAUCUUAGUUGCCAGCAUUCAGUUGGGCACUCUAAGGUGACUGCCGGUGACAAACCGGAGGAAGGUGGGGAUGACGUCAAAUCAUCAUGCCCCUUAUGACCUGGGCUACACACGUGCUACAAUGGAUGGUACAAAGAGCUGCGAACCCGCGAGGGUAAGCCAAUCUCAUAAAGCCAUUCUCAGUUCGGAUUGU